Molecule: ribosomal RNA, 372 nt
Filed under: uncultured bacterium
Lineage: Bacteria
Description: bacterial SSU rRNA
Rfam family: Bacterial small subunit ribosomal RNA
Source: RNAcentral
AACGUAGACGUAAAGUUACGCUAAUACCGCAUACGAUCGUACGGAUAGAAAGGCGGGGGAUCGCAAGACCUCGCGCGAGUGGAGCGGCCGAUGUCAGAUUAGGUAGUUGGUGGGGUAAAGGCUCACCAAGCCAACGAUCUGUAGCUGGUCUGAGAGGACGACCAGCCACACUGGAACUGAGACACGGUCCAGACUCCUACGGGAGGCAGCAGUGGGGAAUUUUGGACAAUGGGCGCAAGCCUGAUCCAGCCAUUCCGCGUGCAGGAUGAAGGCCUUCGGGUUGUAAACUGCUUUUGUACGGAACGAAACGGCGAGCUCUAAUACAGUUUGCUAAUGACGGUACCGUAAGAAUAAGCACCGGCUAACUACGUG